Molecule: ribosomal RNA, 267 nt
Filed under: uncultured anaerobic ammonium-oxidizing bacterium
Lineage: Bacteria
Description: partial 16S ribosomal RNA
Rfam family: Bacterial small subunit ribosomal RNA
Source: RNAcentral
GGGCACGUAGGCGGAGAGGUAAGUUGGUGGUGAAAGCCUCCGGCUCAACCGGAGAAUUGCCUCCAAAACUGCCUUUCUGGAGUGCAGGAGGGGAGAGUGGAACUCUUGGUGGAGCGGUGAAAUGCGUUGAUAUCAAGGGGAACGCCGGCGGCGAAAGCGACUCUCUGGCCUGCUACUGACGCUGAGGUGCGAAAGCUAGGGGAGCAAACGGGAUUAGAUACCCCGGUAGUCCUAGCCGUAAACGAUGGGCACUAAGUAGAGGGGUUU